AACGAACGCUGGCGGCGCGUUUAAGCAUGCAAGUCGAGCGGCAAGGGCCUUCGGGCCCCUAGAGCGGCGGACGGGUGAGUAACACGUGGACAAUCUCGCCCCCCGGCCCGGGAUAGCCCAGGGAACCUGGAUUAAUACCGGAUGAGACGGGACCCGCGAAGGCGGGACCGGGAAGGCGCUGCGGCGCCGCCGGGGGAUGAGUCUGCGUCCCAUUAGCUAGACGGCGGGGUAACGGCCCACCGUGGCGACGAUGGGUAGCCGGCCUGAGAGGGUGGACGGCCACAUUGGAACUGAGACACGGUCCAGACUCCUACGGGAGGCAGCAGCUAAGAAUCUUCCGCAAUGGGCGAAAGCCUGACGGAGCGACGCCCGCGUGAACGAAGAAGGCCGUGAGGUUGUAAAGUUCUUUUCGGGAGGGGGAACAACCGUGGCAGGGAAUGGCCGCGGGAUGACGUGAAUCCCGGAAUAAGCCCCGGCUAACUACGUGCCAGCAGCCGC
Molecule: ribosomal RNA, 498 nt
Filed under: uncultured bacterium
Lineage: Bacteria
Description: bacterial SSU rRNA
Rfam family: Bacterial small subunit ribosomal RNA
Source: RNAcentral